RNAcentral lists this ribosomal RNA (417 nucleotides) under uncultured microorganism. RNAcentral describes it as "bacterial SSU rRNA". It matches the Rfam family "Bacterial small subunit ribosomal RNA", at positions 9 to 424 of the family's 1533-position model. The record is from RNAcentral.
GAGUUUGAUCGUGGCUCAGAUUGAACGCUGGCGGCAUGCCUUACACAUGCAAGUCGAACGGCAGCAUGAUCUAGCUUGCUAGAUUGAUGGCGAGUGGCGAACGGGUGAGUAAUACAUCGGAACGUGCCCUGUAGUGGGGGAUAACUAGUCGAAAGAUUAGCUAAUACCGCAUACGACCUGAGGGUGAAAGUGGGGGACCGCAAGGCCUCAUGCUAUAGGAGCGGCCGAUGUCUGAUUAGCUAGUUGGUAGGGUAAAGGCCCACCAAGGCGACGAUCAGUAGCUGGUCUGAGAGGACGAUCAGCCACACUGGGACUGAGACACGGCCCAGACUCCUACGGGAGGCAGCAGUGGGGAAUUUUGGACAAUGGGCGAAAGCCUGAUCCAGCAAUGCCGCGUGUGUGAAGAAGGCCUCGGUU